AGGGUGCAGGUUCAAGUCUUGAGAAUACUCACUACUGCAAAAAUGCUCAAGGGUAGGACUCCUUCCAAAUUCUCCCUUGAGGCCCCAUUUCAUUGGGACCUUAACCGGGUGAUACCUUUACCAUGCUGUCAAAUUGCACAUUAUUUUCCAUGUAAAUUUUAUUCUACCCGUUCUUGUUAUAUUUGGACCAUCUAUAUAUUUUUGUUUAGAUUUCUACUUCAUCAAAAGGUACA
RNAcentral lists this unclassified non-coding RNA (233 nucleotides) under Hevea brasiliensis (rubber tree). The record is from RNAcentral. Lineage: Eukaryota; Viridiplantae; Streptophyta; Magnoliopsida; Malpighiales; Euphorbiaceae.